Long non-coding RNA from Ctenocephalides felis (cat flea), 389 nucleotides. RefSeq lists it as uncharacterized. Lineage: Eukaryota; Metazoa; Arthropoda; Insecta; Siphonaptera; Pulicidae. The transcript is spliced from 4 exons. The record is from RefSeq and is a predicted model, not a curated record.
AGUAAUCAGGAAUCCAGAUUUCUCGGAGUAUCUUCCAAAUGGGGAAAUUUUUAAGGUAUCCAUUGUGCUUUCAAAAUCAUUAGUUGUUUCGGGUCUUCAAAACAAGUGUGGGGUUUUAGAUCAUUACUAAUUCUAGAUAAAACUCCAGUUGAUCUUGUACCUCACCAUGCAAAAUCUGCUAUACAAUAAUAUGAAAUCUAUUGUACUCCAUGGGCGUUACAACACUGGAAAUUUAAUGUGACUCUAAAUUAGACAAAUCUUUUGCUUUAGUUGGUCCUAAAUAAUUCAGUGCAUUGUAAAAAUGCUAAAUGUACCACAAAGAUGAAACUUCUAUGAUACUUCAUUUUGCCCAAAGUUAAAAGAGAUUUUAAGACAGUGGAAAUAUAUAG